This 514-nucleotide ribosomal RNA is filed under the name uncultured Gammaproteobacteria bacterium. RNAcentral describes it as "bacterial SSU rRNA". It matches the Rfam family "Bacterial small subunit ribosomal RNA", at positions 1 to 509 of the family's 1533-position model. The record is from RNAcentral. Lineage: Bacteria; Pseudomonadati; Pseudomonadota; Gammaproteobacteria.
GCCCUUAGAGUUUGAUCCUGGCUCAGAUUGAACGCUGGCGGCAUGCCUAACACAUGCAAGUCGAGCGGCAGCAGGUCCUUCGGGACGCUGGCGAGCGGCGGACGGGUGAGUAACACGUGGGAAUCUACCUUUCGGUGGGGGAUAGCCCGAGGAAACUCGGAUUAAUACCGCAUACGCCCUUCUGGGCAAAGCAGGCCUCUGAUUCAAGCUUGCGCCGAUAGAUGAGCCCGCGCCCGAUUAGCUAGUUGGUGGGGUAAAGGCCUACCAAGGCGACGAUCGGUAGCUGGUCUGAGAGGACGAUCAGCCACACCGGAACUGAGACACGGUCCGGACUCCUACGGGAGGCAGCAGUGGGGAAUAUUGGACAAUGGGCGAAAGCCUGAUCCAGCAAUGCCGCGUGGGUGAAGAAGGCUUGCGGGUUGUAAAGCCCUUUCAGCGGGGAGGAAAAGCGUACGGUUAAUACCUGUGCGUCUUGACGUUACCUGCAGAAGAAGCACCCGGCUAACUCCGUGCC